CAGCAGCCGCGGGAAUACGUAGGGUGCGAGCGUUAAUCGGAAUUACUGGGCGUAAAGCGUGCGCAGGCGGUUUGUUAAGACAGAUGUGAAAUCCCCGGGCUCAACCUGGGAACUGCAUUUGUGACUGGCAAGCUAGAGUCUGGCAGAGGGGGGUGGAAUUCCGCGUGUAGCAGUGAAAUGCGUAGAUAUGCGGAGGAAUACCGGUGGCGAAGGCGGCCCCCUGGACAAAGACUGACGCUCAGGUGCGAAAGCGUGGGGAGCAAACAGGAUUAGAUACCCCGGUAGUCCCUGUCUCUUAUAC
This 301-nucleotide ribosomal RNA is filed under the name uncultured bacterium. RNAcentral describes it as "partial 16S ribosomal RNA". It matches the Rfam family "Bacterial small subunit ribosomal RNA", at positions 509 to 807 of the family's 1533-position model. The record is from RNAcentral.